AGGUCAAAAGAUCAUCCUCUCCACACGUGAGCAGACAUGAACCACCAGGCUGCUCCGCCUGCCCUAUCUAAGCUCUUCCCUGUUCCCACCCAGUGACGCAGACCUGGAUAACGCCCCAAAGAGGGGCUGAACCCCACCACAUGGCUCCUGGUGUGGCUCAGUGGCAAGAAUCACCCUUUCUUUGGGAGAUGACAUAUACUGUCUUCAAAGUCUUACUCAGAGACCUCUCAGGGAGGAUCAGCCCUUGAUCCUUCCCACAGCCCAACCUCAGGGACACCUGUUUCCAUGGCCUCUCUUCAUCCACCUCAUUCAUAUCCUCAGCUCCAGCCCACUGACUUUGCCCCUACCCCCCAAACAGGGGCAAAGCCCACAGCAGGCCAAGGAGGUUGUGGUAGCCAGAACAAUGCCCCCUUGAAAGUAUCCAUGUCCUAGUCCCCCAAUUUUGUGAAUGUGUUGCCUUCCAUGGCAAAUGGGACUUCACAGAUGUGAUGAAGUUAAGGCUGUUGAGAUGGGGAGGUGAUCCUGUAUUAACUGGGAGAGAGAUUAGAAGAUACUCUGAUGCUGGCUUUGGAGAUGGAGAAAGAGACCAUAAGCCAAGAGAUGUAGGUGACAUUUAUAAACUGGAAAAGACAGAGGAAGUUAUUCUCCCCUAAAGCAUCCAGAAGGAAUAUAACCCCCCACCACCACCUUGAUUUUAGCCCAAUGGGACCCGUUUGGACAUCUGACUUCCAGAACUCUAAGAUAAUACAUUUGCAUUGUUUUAGGCUCUAAGUUUGUGGCAAUCUGUGACAGCAGCCAUAGGAAACUCACACAGCAGUCCCUGCUCUACCCACUCAGUAGCCCAGUGCUGUCUCCCCACUGACUCUGCAGCCUUCUCCCUGCUCUCAGAUGACCUGGCCUCAAAUCCCAGUCUACUUACCUACUAGGUGCUCUUGGGCACUCACGCCAUCACUUUGAGCCUUGGUUCUCUCAUCUGCAAAACACAGCUCACAGACUGGCCGCACAGGCCUGCAGCAAGGGUUAAAUGAAAUUAUGCUUGUGAAGUCUCUUAGCAACCGUGCUUGGAACAAAAUUGGUGCUUGCUGAUAUUUUUAGUUGUUGAGCAUAAUUCUGUAGCUUUCAUUUGUGCUGCUAGAGCCACCUCCUGCUCUAGCCCUAGCUGCUAGCGCCCUAGCCCUCCCUGAGGAGUCAGGCCCUUCUUGCAAUGCUCGGACCAGCAGGGACUCUCAGGGAACAGACCCCUUCCCACAGUCCCUGGGGUGGAGGUGAGGGGCAGCAGAGCCUUGAGCAUUGCCCUCACAGCAAGGACACUCCACCUAGGUUCAAAUCCUUUCCCUGCCCCUUCUCAGCUAUGUGAUGUUGGGAGAGCUACUCCAUCAUGCCAAACCUCAGUUAUCUCCGUUGUAAAAAACCUCCAAGUAGGCUGUUUUGGUGUGAGGUUAAGGCUGUUGAGAUGGGGAGGUAAUCCUGCAUUAACUGGGGAUCAGGGUAUUGGUGUGAGCAUUGAGUGUAUUCUUGGCUGGGCGUGUAGCAAAUGCUUGAUAAACAGCAUCAACCAGUGGUCUCCCCAAACUAAGGAGGCAUGUCCCUCUCAAGUUGUGGCCCCUCUUUAAGAAAGAGCAGUCCUCCUGGAAUUAAUAAGCAAUAUAGCAGAUUGCAGGACACGAGGUUAAUGUAUAAAGGCCAAUUGCUUUCCUAUAUAGCAACAAUAAUCAAGUAAAAUUUGAAGUUAAAAACACAUUUUACAUCAGUACACCCCUAAAUGAAACACUUAGGUGUAAAUCUCACAAAAUAGGUUCAGGAUCUAUAUGAGGAAAACAACAAAGCUCUGAUGAAAUAAAAAAGCUAAAUAAAUGUUCAUGGAUAGGAACUUUCAAUGUUGUAAAAAUGUCUGUUCUUCCCAACUUGAUCUGUAGAUUUAGUGCAACCCCAUCAAAAUCCCAGCAAGUUAUUUUGCAGAUAUUGGCAAAUUGACUCUGAAAUUAAUAUAAAGAGACGAAGGACCCAGAAUAACCAAGACAAUAUUGAAGGAAAAAAAAAAAAAGUUGGAUGAUUGACACUACCCAACUUUAAGACUUGCUAUAAAGGUACAAAGUAAUCAAGACACUGUGGUAUUGGCAAAAGAAUAGACAGACAGAUCAAUGGAACAGAAUAGAGAGCCCAGAAAUAGACCCACGUAAAUACAGUCAACGGAUCCUUGAAAAAGGAGCAAAGGCAAAAACAAUGGGGCAGAUACAGUCUUCUCACCAAAUGGUUCUGGAAAUUGGACAUCCAUAUACCAAAAAGUGAAUCUAGACAUAGACCUUACACCCUUCACAAAAAUUAACUCAAAAUGGGUCAUAGGCCUAAAUGUAAAACACAAAGCUAUAAAACUCUUAGAAGAUAAUAGAGGAGAAAACUUGGUUGACCUUGAGCGUGGUGAUACUGCUUUAGAUACAACAUCAAAGACAUGACCAUCAAAGACAUAACUGAUAACCUGGACUUCACUAAAAUGUCUCCUCUGCAAAAGACAGUAUUAGGAGAGUUAGAAGACAAGCCACGGAUGAAGAGAAAAUAUUUGCAGAGCGCACAUCUGAUAAAGGGCUGUUAUCCCGAAUAUACAAAGAACUCUCAAAACUCAACUGUAAGAAAACACACAACUGGAUGAAAAGAUGGUCCAAAGAUCUUAACAGACCCCUCAGCAAAGAAGAUCUGCAGAUGACAAAUAAGCAUCUGAAAAGAUGCUCUACAUUCUAAGUCAUCAGGAAAAUGCAAAUGAAAACAACAGGGAGAGACCACUGCACACCAAGUAGAAUGGCCACAAUUCAAACACAGACAACACCAAGCCCUCGAGGGGAUGUGGAAUAACAGGACCUCUCAGAUGUUGCCCGUGGGAAUGCGAAACAGUACAGCCACUUGGGAAGACAGUCUGACAAUUUCCUACAAAACUAAACCCACUCUUACCAUACAAUCCAAAAGAGUUGAAAAUUUAUGUCCGCCAAAAAAUCUGCACACAAAGGUCUGUAGCAGCUUUAUUCAGAAUGACCAAAACUUGGGGGCAACCAAGAUGUCCUUCAGUAGGGGAAUGAGUAAAUAAACUGUGCCACAUCCAGAUAAUGGAAUAUUGUUCAUCCCUAAAGAGAACGGAGCUAUCGAGCCAUGCAAAGACUUGCGCCUUAAAUGCACAUGACUCAGUGAAAGAAGCCAACCUGAAAGAGCUGCAUGCUGUGUGAUUCCAAAGAUACGAGGUUCUGGAAAAGGCAGAACCAGGGAGACAAUAAAAAGUGGUUGCCAGGGGUUGAGGGAAGGAGGUGGCGAACAGGUGAAGCACAGAGACUCUUUAGGACAGUGAAAGUACCGUGCAGGAUAUUAUAACGACAAAUACAUGUCGCCAUUCGUCUGUCCAGAGCCAUACGGUGUACGACACCAAGAGUGCACCCGAACGUAAACUGUGGACUUUGGGGGAUUAUGAUGGGUCCAUGUAGAUUUAUCCUUACUCACAAAUGUACCCCUUUGGUGAGUGGUGUGAAUGGGGUGGGGGGGCUACCCCUGUGGCAAGGCAGUGGGUAUGUGGGAAGUCUCUACACCUCCCCCCCAAUGUCACUGUAAACCCAAAACUGCUCUAGAAAAAUAAAGUCUUUUUAAAAAGAGAGAAAAGAAAGAGCAAACUUUUACAAGUAUGAAAUAGAGUCUCGGAUGGGGCUUGUACCCGAGCAGAGCUCUGAAGCAUAAACUCCAUUAGCUUCUGCUUUCUGCUCUCAACCUCUUCUCGCCCGUGGUGCCUGCGCCAGACAGCUUCCAGAAAAGUCCCUCCAAACAGCCUGAGUAAUCAUCAGGGGCCGUGACUCCCUCGGUCUCCCAGCAGUGUCCAAGCUCCCUGGGUAAGCGAACAAGAGCUCAGAUGAAGCAAUGCAAACUGUCUCUCGGAUGAGCCCAGCUCCUUGGGACAGAGGGGACAGCUCAUCUCCUCCUUGCUCUGACAGUAGGGCUUUGAAUGUGGCAAAUACAAAUAAUGGCCAGCCGAUUAAAUUUGAAUUGCAGGUAGACAAUGAAUCAUUUUUCAGUACAAGUAGGGGACACUUUGCCUGGGCCAUUUAGCCGGGUGUCCUUUGUGUUUUCCGGCAGCCCUGCCUCCCAGGGACCGAGCAAAGUCAGGUUCGGUGCCACAGGAAACUAAACUGAUUUUAGCAGUGGGGCUCCUGACUCUUCUUUCCUAGACAGGGAUGUGGUUCUUCAAAGGAUGGGUGUCAUUCAGGAACGUGCCUCAUCUGGAAAGUGGGGGAUACAGGGCAGGUGACCCAGAGCCAGCCCACUAGGGCCUGAAUGACUGACCCUGAUUGUGAGGCUCUCAAUUCUCUCUGAUCCUCUGUUUCUCCACCUGUGUAAUGACGGUUCCUGUGCUCUUGGGUGGUGUGAGCAUCAAGUAGGAAAACGUGGAGUUCCUGUCGUGGCUCAGUGGUUAGCGAAUCCGACUAGAAACAUUGAGGCUGCGGGUUCAAUCCCUGGCCUCGCUCAGUGGGUUAAGGAUCCGGCAUUGCCAUGAGCUGUGGUGUAGGUCGCAGAUGCGGCUUGGAUCCUGCGUUGCUGUGGCUGUGGCAUAGGCCAGUGGCUACAGCUCCAAUUCAACCCCUAGCCUGGGAACCUCCAUAUGCCACGGGAGCAGCCCCAGAAAUGGCAAAAA
Molecule: long non-coding RNA, 4660 nt
Filed under: Sus scrofa (pig)
Lineage: Eukaryota; Metazoa; Chordata; Mammalia; Artiodactyla; Suidae
Description: lncRNA (ENSSSCG00015068428.1)
Source: RNAcentral